Molecule: ribosomal RNA, 547 nt
Filed under: Nephroma expallidum
Lineage: Eukaryota; Fungi; Ascomycota; Lecanoromycetes; Peltigerales; Nephromataceae
Description: eukaryotic LSU rRNA
Rfam family: 5.8S ribosomal RNA (bases 214-368)
Source: RNAcentral
AAGGAUCAUUAUUAAAGUCACAAGGGGGUCAUUAGACACCUCCGGGGGCGUGAUGGUCAAGUACUCCUAGGGUAGUUCCGGGAUUUACCCCAUCCGUCUUAUUUUAUACCCGAUGCGUAUCUAAAACGUUAAGCUUGCUUUGGCGGCUAUACCCGUCAAGGGGAACCUAAAACUCGAUAUAUUGGUGAUGUCAGAGUUAACCAUAAUAACUAAAACUUUCAACAACGGAUCUCUUGGUUCUGGCAUCGAUGAAGAACGCAGCGAAAUGCGAUAAGUAAUGUGAAUUGCAGAAUUCAGUGAAUCAUCGAAUCUUUGAACGCACAUUGCGCCUUCUGGAAAUUCCGGAAGGCAUACCUGUUCGAGCGUCAUUUAAACCCCUCAAGCUAGGCUUGAUGUUGGGUGUCGUCCCCUGGGCGUGCCUAAAAUACAGUGACGGUCCAGGUGAUUUUAAGCGCAUUAAAUAAUCUUUCGCUUUGAAAAUCAUCUGGCAUCGGGUUUUAAUCAUAAGAUUGACCUCGGAUCAGGUAGGGAUACCCGCUGAACUUAA